Molecule: ribosomal RNA, 388 nt
Filed under: uncultured bacterium
Lineage: Bacteria
Description: bacterial SSU rRNA
Rfam family: Bacterial small subunit ribosomal RNA
Source: RNAcentral
GGGUUGUAAACUUCUUUUAUAUUAGAAUAAAGUGCAGUAUGUAUACUGUUUUGUAUGUAUAAUAUGAAUAAGGAUCGGCUAACUCCGUGCCAGCAGCCGCGGUAAUACGGAGGAUCCGAGCGUUAUCCGGAUUUAUUGGGUUUAAAGGGAGCGUAGGUGGGCUGGUAAGUCAGUUGUGAAAGUUUGCGGCUCAACCGUAAAAUUGCAGUUGAUACUGUCAGUCUUGAGUACAGCAGAGGUGGGCGGAAUUCGUGGUGUAGCGGUGAAAUGCUUAGAUAUCGCGAAGAACUCCGAUUGCGAAGGCAGCUCACUGGACUGCAACUGACACUGAUGCUCGAAAGUGUGGGUAUCAAACAGGAUUAGAUACCCUGGUAGUCCACACAGUAAA